This is a long non-coding RNA of Oenanthe melanoleuca, 13793 nucleotides long. RefSeq lists it as uncharacterized. The record is from RefSeq and is a predicted model, not a curated record. NCBI's taxonomy places the organism in Eukaryota, Metazoa, Chordata, Aves, Passeriformes, Muscicapidae. The transcript has 8 exons.
GGGAAAAUAAGAUAGCAAAAUAGAAUAACCUGCUUCUAUUUGAGGUGUCCCUGAAGCAGUAUGGAAAUCUGCUCCAGGGGCACCUGAGCUCUCCAUUGAUCUAGUGACCUCAGGCAAGUUGCAUCAUCUCUCAGUCCUUCAUGAAGCAGAGAUUAUGCUCAAGGCCUCCUUUUGUCACAUGCUUUCAGAUCUGUUGAUGAAAGGUGCUUCACAGAAAUAAUAACCCUAUUCACAGAGAAUUUAAUGUCUUAUUUUCAAACUUAUUUUCCUCAUUAGUGCAAAUGGAUUCAGGAGUACUGGAACCAGGAAGCCCAAUAUGUGCUUUAGGCUACUCCAGCUCUUCAAGGGAAACUUGUCCUAAAAAACAGAUAUUUUGUAAGUGUCUCUCCUAAAAUGAUUCUAAAUAUCUGAUAUGUUAUCUGCUUAUUCUGUUUCAUGAUCUUGCUCUUGGUUGGUUGCCCCUUUUUUUUUUUUUCUUCUCCUUCUUUCCAAGUCUUGCAGAAUCUCAGUCUUUGAACUCUUCAUUCCUGUCAAAUCAGGCUGACAUGACCUAAAGGAUCAGAAGUUCUUAUGGGGGGUGGGAUGGGUGAACAGAAAUUCUUGUGUACCAUGAUUGUGUAGGUCUCUUAUCCUUAGGACACCAGGGCAAAAGUCAUGCCUGCCUUCAUUCCCUCUGCUUUGAAAGCCAUAGAAUGGACUUGCCAAAAGUUGAAGCUAUCUUUAUCCUUGGCAAAUGGGAUGGAAUUCUAGCCAAAAAAUGAAAGAAUAAGAUUUACAGCACAGAUGGGACUGCUUUGUGCAUGAACAGAACAGGUGAGGCACAAAUUAAAAUCCUCAUUGCUGCAUAAUCUGAUUCAGCAAAGCUGUUGCAGCUUCCUACAGAGGAAAUGGGAAAAGUUAUGUAUAGGACACUCCUAGUUCUGUACAGCACUGAGCUAUACAGAGAAGACAAAACAAUAUCUGGUUAGCCUUAGAAGGGGCAGCAGGAAGGAGAGCAAUAGUCUGUCUUGUUCAUGGUGAUGAAAUCAAGCCUUAGCACCAAGAAAGGGGAAAGGCAGAUAUUUUAUGUGAGAGAAGGAACAUUUCUAAUGCAAAGGUUGAAUGGAUUAGGUGAGGCCUCUACAACCUCUGAUUUAAAAACCUCUGGUUUUUAGAACAGGAUUAUGCAAGUGUCAGGAAUUACAUAAGAAUACCUGAUAACUGCAAGGCCUCCUGAGCUCCAUUUGAGCCACCUUUUGAUUGUUCCAUAAAGUACAGGUUGUCUUGUGAAAUACAGAUAUGCAGUGAUGCAAACAAGACCUUUGUGCUCUAAGCUGUUAGGGUUUGUCUAGGUGGAGACUGACAGAGCUGAAAGUCUGUUUUAUGCAAAGCAGAGUUGCUGAUAGAAAUACUGUCCUAAAUGAGUCACUCAGCCCUCAGAUGUGGGAGAACCAAAGCAUUUGAAAAUAGCCCCAACUUGCUAUAGCAUCAGGACUCAGAUGCACUUUCAGCAGCAUUAUGAGCACAACUCAUAGAAAGGCUCACAAGACUUAGGCUCACAGGUCCCUGCUCCAGACUGCAGCAGCCAGUGGAAACACCAGCACCAGUAUCACAAAGGUCUUGUAGAGGACCAGUUCCUGCAAACAUGAAGCUGAUCACACAUUUAUUGGAUUGCUUUAUUGGCUGGAGACCAGGACCAUCAGAGAUGGACAUGUCCUUGCUGUGGUGACAAACAUCUGCACCUGGCAAUGAGGCUGCCUUCCCUCACAGGCUCCAUGCUCCACUGGGCUAUUUUAGGACAGGUUAGGUACCAGAGCUGGGGGGAAAGGGAUGGUUUAUUAUGUGAAGAAAGGUCAGAAGUUUGCCUGCUUGCUCAACCAGCCAAAUCUGGUUUUAAUCUAUGAAAACACACCAAAACACCCUCUCAGAGAAAAAGAGAUGAUGGAGUCAAAGUGAAUGCUUUGCUGCUGCUGUAUGUACCUUGGAGCUGGAUUUUUCUGUGUAGUCUGUGGAAGCUUGUCACCAUGUUAAAUGUCCAGCUUUCAUUAAAUCCACACCUGAAGGAAAGGUAUUUCUAGCAGUGGCAAAAAUAUUGGCAUUUUUCCCCAGUGCCCAGAAACCAUGCAAAUGGUAAAUGAAAUUUAAUCAUAUGGUGUGAUCUCCAGCUCCCUGGGUCACUCACCAAAGUUUUUUGUCCUUCUAGUCAUGUGAAUUUUCAGCCCACCCAACACUCUUCUGAGGUACCUGGUACUUGCUGCAUUUGCUUCAGCCUCCUAGAAAUUCCAGGAUCUUCUUGACUAGUAUAUUAUGGGAGUUGUUGCAUUCAGAUAAACUGUAAUUCUAAAUCAAUAAUCAGCUGCUUGCUAGAAUAUUUCAGCUGACAUCCCUGUGAUUCUGUGUUGUAUUUUGCUUUGCUUUUUCUGAAUAUUCUGUUAGAUUUCGGCUCCUACAAACUAUUUAGAAGCAUCCUCCAGACUAGAUCUUUAUCCAUCUUUAGAAAAGACAUUUUGCAUGAGUUGCAGGAGGUCAUGGGAUUGCUGCUUUUUGGGAUGAAGGCUCACUGAAGACUUAAGUGAGGCAGAGAACCUGACUAACUCCCAAAGGCUAAAGUUACAGAGUUUAUACAUAUGUGAAAGGUGUGAUCAAGGAUGCCUUUCUCCACUGAAGGAUGCUGAAGUAAGUGUUGAUAAAAACAUCCCACAUAAAAGUGUUAAAAUGAAAACAGAGACAAGAGGAUGCUAAAUAGAGAAAGGAAGCUGGAUCUGGGAUUUGAUGACUGACCAUAAGCAGCUGUGCACAGUGGCCCCAGCAAACCCCUGUUCAGGAUCCAGGAGGAAUCCUUCACUGCCAGCCUAAGGAGAACAUUGGUGACAGCCGCCGAAAUGCCUUGAUCACACACUCCCAGCACCCUGCCCUGCCAGCAGCAGGAGGAAAGUCCAGUUUAUGUUAAUAAGGUGCAGAGACUGGCCAAAAUAUUUUGUGAAUUUUCUGGCUCAAAAGAGUAAUGAAGCUACCUCUGUCUCAGUGCACUGGCACAGAAGCAAACUAAACAACUGGGAAACGUGUUUCAGAGGAGAAAUACAGAGCACAAACUCCCUGGAUUUCACACUUCCACUGGAGGCUGAGCUUUCCCUCUUUCUACCUCUUUUCCAGGCUGGCUGAAGAGUUUUGCACAAAAAGUGGGAGGGAUGGGGGAGGGCGAUCAGGCUUUUCUGCAGAUUAGCUUCAGGCAGCUCUUGCCAGACCAAAAGUUACAUUGGAAAGCAUUUCUUAGUUUAUACCAAAACAAUUAAUUGUUUAAUAUGUAAAGUAAAACCAGAAAGUUAUUCCCAUAAAUUUGGUUUCAAAUCUACCUUUUUAUUAGCUUUGAGCAAAAGAAACCUCACUGCUGGGAGCACAGUCAGAUUCUUUGGGCUCUCUUCAAAAAGCUCUCUCUUUUUGUCAUUCCUCUCUGACCUCCUCCCUGCUAGUCCCGGGAUGAAAAGCAAGCCAAAGAUCUGCUGAGAAAUGGGCCGAGCCACUGCUGACCUUUGCAAAUCCAAUUUCUUCAAAGCGAGAGCUAAUCGACGCGUUCCCACGCUGUGUAUUGCUGAAACUUACGAUGCAAUUCAAGGAAUGAAUUCACCAUGGUGCAAUCUCAUUUUGAAUCCAGUUUUCUUGUUAUGUGUCAGAGGGUGAAGGAGGCAGAGUGUGGUACAAGUUAUAGAGAGCAGUCACAACCAAGUUUCACAAACUGUGGAAGUCUGUCUCUGAAAAAUUUUGCACUUUGGAAGGGCUCCUUCUCUUAAAAUCUAAAAUAUAUUGCUCUCCCUCCCACCUCCUUCUACUUUCUUCCCCCUCAAAAACAGAGACAUUUUGCAGUUAUUUAAAACAAAAAUAAGCUAAUGAGAGUUUGCACUGAGCAAUCUCCAAACAGAUAAAAAAUAGGCUCUAAGGGUAUUUUAUCUGAUGUGUAACCAAGGUGCCUUUUGGGGAGAUUGGUGUGCACAGGAGCUGUAGGUGCUGCAGAGGGAGCUUUAAAAUUCAUGUCCAAAAUUCAUAUUCUCUCACUUUGCAUAUCUGACCUGGUAUGAGCACUAUUCUGGUUUUACAGCAGCCAGAGUGGUCCACUCAGUGCGAGGUUUGGCAAUCUCUGCUGGGUACCGCAGCUGCGCCGGCAGGAUCCGUGCAGGAAAAGCACAUUGGCAUUCCCAACCCAAAUCUCAUAAUCUAGUUCCAACAGGUGCCUGGAGACUGGCCCCCUCCCUGUUUCCCAGAAGGUGCUGCCAUUUGUUUCCUGCUCCAGUGGCCAAGGCCUGGCUGAGCACUGCCUCUGCACCCACAUCCCGCUGGCACGCUCCCGGCGGGGCGGGUUUGCGCAAGGCUGCAACUCCUUGUCUGGGGCAAAAGGGACACAGGAGGACUCUCAUUGCUCCUUUAGCUCCUGUGGGGCAUGUGUCAUGGGUAGCACAUCCCAAAGAAUUGCUUUCAGCAGCCAAAGAGAGCAGUUAUGUCACUGCCAGCAGGGGUUGGGCUUGCUGUGCCUCCCUCGGGAUGUCACCUGUCCAGCUGGGAAGUCCUGGCAUGGCAGGUAGCAGCCAAGCUGCUCCACUGUUGGUGCCUCACCACAGACCUCCCAGACUGGGGUGUUCUGGCCAGUUUGGCCACGUAGUAGAACCAGAGAUAUCGUCAUUUACUUUUUUAGCUCAUUACCACCUUCACUGCACAAGUGUCAUUCCACCAUGGCUGAGGUAAUGGUGAAUCAGGUCCUUGGGCUAAUGGGCUGAACUGUGCCUUGGCUGUAAACUAAAGGCUUCCAGAGGAAGCCUCAAUGCUCUCAUUUUGUAUUUGUCCCUAGGAAAGCAAAUGAAGAUAUAUCAUUGUUCUCAAGAUUGCUGAAAGAAGCAAGUCCUUUUUUAAAAUUUUAUAAACCAGUCAUGAAUAGUAAAUUUCUUCUAUUCAUGACUGGUUUAUAAAAGAGUUUGCUAACUAACCAGAUCUGAAGAACUUUCGUUCUCAGCAAGUAUUGCAAUAAGUGAAUUGUUUGUGUUUUUAUUACUUUCUCCAUAUUUUUUUUAUCCUCUUUCCCAAGAUUUUCCAGUCUUCUGGACAUCAAAGAUUUUGGAGAAGAGGUUGUAUAAACUGGAUAGGUAACAGCUGUUACCAGAUGGAUUUACUGGUGGAAAGGGGAGAGGGCUAAUUUGUUUUAUGUGUUUCCUCCCACCUUUCACUGUGGCACACUGUUCCUGUCCUGUGACAGGGAGUGUCCUUGCACAGAAGGAGCCCUUGUCCACAGGUUUACACCUAACUUUGGGUUUUGGUGUUGGUUAUAAGUGACUUUUCCAAGUGCCUUCUUCAUAGCUCUUUUACCUAGUCCUCCAGUAGUUUAUUAGAGAGAAAAAAAAUGAGAGAGCAGCUCUAAUAUUGUUAGAUAAAGCACUGAUUGAUAGAUUUUCAUUUCUAACCUUUUCAAGUCAGAAGGUCUAGUUUGCUUCACUUUUGGAUAUCUCAGGACACUUAAAGUUGGAUUUAUUUUUGCAAAAUAAAUAAUUGAAUUCCUCCAGAAAGGUCAUAGUACCAAAGGAGGGUUUCAGCUGUAUCAUCUCUGUUGUGCCCUUCUGUUUAACAUGGAAAUGAACAUUUGCAUGAAUCUUCUUUAUUUCUUCAUCUAGUUUAAAAUUCCUUCUAUUUGUCUUUUAGAUUGCUGACUGUUUAAGAAAGGUCAGAGAGGGGAAAUGGUGAUUUGUAAUAUUGCAAAGCACUAACUGGUAAAAGAGAUUGUGUGUGUGUAUGACAACCUGAUUUUUGCAUAUUGCUGUACCAACAAUAUCUGAUCUCAUUCAGAUAACAGUAAAGCAGCCUACAGCUUUGACCAGAUUCAAAGAAACUCACACUUCUUGUUCUUUUCUUUCUUAUUUUGGGUUUGAUCUACUUGCUUUGACAUUUGCAUGUUGUGUUUUUAAGUACUUACCCUCACGUUUUUCAAGCUUCAGCAAGGGAGAGCACUUUCAAUAUAUAUUGUCUGCAAAAAGUGUCCCAUGUCCUCUGAAUAUGCUGACAUUCAAUCUGAUCUAAAAAUUUGAGGACUGGCAUCUUCUCAGUCUAGUCUCUUUCUUCCUGGGGUAGCCUAGAUUGAUACUUUUGAUCCUUUCCUUCUCUGAGCAAAUUCAGAAUCCAUUGCCAUUGCAGGAGAGGAGACUCUGGCUUCACCCAGUCUGUGAGGAUCCUCAGCCCUUUGCAAAAAUGCUCAGAUUCUCAUGGAGUUUAACUCUUCUCUGCAGCUGGCCUGGGGGGGUUAGCUGGGGGAAUAUCACUGGAGCAGAUAUCCAUGUCAAUGGCUGCUGGACUGCUGUCAGGAAAAAAGGAUCCUGUCUGGAGAGGGAUAGAGCAGAAUCCAUACCCAGAAAAUCAUCUGUAAUGUGAUUUUAGGCUUUCAGCCUUAAUUAAUUUCAAACUCUUUUCCUGCAUCUCUUUUAUUCACUCAUUGAGUACUGCUCCAUAUAGGUAAAGGAAAUGAUCAGGAAAAGAGAGGAAGUUAUCCAAAAGAGCAACUGAGCUUCUUUGCAACACUCAAGAGUAUUUUUUUCUGCACAACUAGUGGAGAAAUUGGAAUAGCUCUGCCAGUUUCAAGGCAAAGUUUUCCAUCUUUACUGAAUAUUUAGACCCCAAUAAGAACCAAACUACAAAGCCAAUAGCAAAAAUAUGGAGGAGGCUCAAGACUAGCUGGGUAGUUUGCUGCAUGAACAGGGAAGCGAGGUCCUUGAUUUUUCUUUGAACAAAAUGAGUUUACUGGGUAAAAUAGGGAGAGAAAGAGGUGUCUGAGUAAUAGUGAGAGGUGUGGUGAAAUCUAGGUUGUAGUCCCUGCUUUAGACAGCCCUUUCUAUAUGCCAAGUUAAUAACCAUGCAGGUGAAUUAGUUACCCUGUUAUCUCUGGGUCCCCAGGCUGGGUGCAAGCACUUAUGGAACUAAGCACAUUUAAUGCUUGUGCAGUGACAAAAACUGAAAGUCACAGCCUUUUAAAAGUGUGCUAAACAGACAAUCUCACAUCCAGAAGAGGGGAUCUUGUUGGCAAGCCUAAGAGUCAGCAGGAGCUUGUACAAGUGGUACCAAAUGGUUGCCAAGCCAUGAAAGCAACAGGUAAUUCAGGUGUGGUGUCUCAGUCUGCUGCUGUCUUUAAAGUGAGGUUUGUGAGCUUGGGUGCAGGCUUGUGCAGGUAGUGUGUGUCAAGUUGAAGCUACAUUUCAAUAAAUCACAGAAAGGUUUCUGUUGGAAGGGACCUUAAAGUUCAUUUUUCCAAUGCCCCUGUCAUGUGCAGGGCACCUUCCACUAGACCAGGUUUCUCAAAGCCCCUUGCAGGGAUGGGGCACCAAGUUUUGGGUUUUUUUGUUUCACUCCACAAGUUGCUGGCACAGGAGCUGAAGGGCUGUUUUCAGUGCACUAUGGAUAGAUGCUGCUGUUGUUAUUUUUACUAAUUCCUCAUCAUGUAUUUCAGGCUCUGCAGUGACAGUGAUGAUUAAAUAAAAAAUAAGAAAUCAUUAGCUUAGCUAAGUAUUUUCCAUGAAGGAACAUUUAUUUAUGGUGACACUGAAAUAUCAUAGCAAUGCUCUGAAGCAGUACAGAAACUCUGAAUUUUUAUGUAUAUAGCCAACAGGAGAUUAAAGAAGUUUGGCUCAAGAGCUUUUACUAUGAAGACAGAACAAGACUUUUCUUUUAAUGUACUUGCAUCUUCAUAAAAAUCUGUUAAACUGGAGCUUUCAGAGGAAGUGUAAAGCACAAGGCAAAUUAAAGUACAAUAACCCUGAAAGGACAAAGUAAUCUAACCAGUGAUGUAGUACUUACAGGAAAAAGAAUUGAGAUUACUGAUGGCUCAGUGCACAGAAGCAGCAUUUAUUAUGAUGGAAAAGUGUAUACUGUGAAUUAAUUCUGUCAGUUUUGUGCUGGCCUGUUUCUCAUUUUACAUGGCAAAUACUUUGAUCCAUGUUAUAAUGUAGGUACUUUUAGAACCCUGGGAAAUUUGCUGUCCCAAUCUACAGAUGAAAUAAUUUAAUCAUAAGUAUUUCACCAGGCAUUUUUCAAACCAAUUUAAUUAGGUUUCAUUGUUUACAGGCUUUGAGUAUAGCAUCCAGAGAUAAUUUAAGAGUGCAACCUGCUUGUCAACUUGAAAGAAAAUGAAAAAUUGGCUAAUUGUCAUUAUUUAAAACUCCAGUGUUCAAGCUGGAGUAUCUGUGGGGCUUUUUUUUCCUUUGAAAGAAUUUCUUCUUUUUAUUAAUUUCUCUCUGUAAUCUUGCCAUUCCUGUGCCUGUAAAUACAUUUAUUCUCAUGUAGUUUAGGAGGGAUUUAUGGCAUUGCAGUGAUUUUGGAUGGGUUUUGAGCUCUACUAUAUUCCUGUAACAUUUCAGAAUUUCCAGGGGCCUCAGAAGGAUUGUUCCAGAUUUAUGCUUGUAUAACACCAGCAGAAUUCUAUCCCUUUAUACUCACAUUCAGAGCUAAUGCAUUAGUCAUCCAGGUCCCUAAACAAGUUAAUUAUCCAGCCCAGUUCUUCAGUGCUGUCUUAACUGUUGCACUUACAAUUUUAUGAAUUUCAUAUAACAUUAGAUGAUGGUAAAUAGGUUUAAAGAUAAGCUGAACUUUUAAAGAUGGAAACUGUUGAUAUUUUUUACUAAUUUCUAGAUCUGUUGUAUUACCAGUACUCUUUGGGAAAGUUCUGAUUUACAAAAUGUGAUCUCACAGGAUGUUUUAUCUUAUUGGCUUCUUGCCAUAUUGCCAGAGUGCAGUGUAUUCAGGCAGAGGCACCCAAAGUGCAUGUUCCAGCAUGCAGAGAAACAGUGCAAAGCUGGUUUUCAUUUUCUAGAAACAGAUCCUAGUAACAGUGUUCCUCCUGCUGAAUGGCUUUUUAUUGCUGGCUUUGUGCUUUUGAUUGAGUUCUUUGGGUUUAUGUUUUUGAGACGUGUACCAUAUAUUCACAGGAAAAAUCCAAGUUUCAGAAGUUUUCUUAGAGUGGAUUCAGUGCUUUUGAAAUCUUUAUUGGAAACCGUCAUUUUCUGCCUGCUCACAAAUACAGCUCUUAUCUAUAGCUCUACCUGCCCAGCUCAGGAAAGAUCCCUUACAAAAUGUUAUGUGUUUUUCCACCCUUUCUCAGGAGGUGAUACUCUGUAAUAGAAAAAAUAACCAGUUAUUAUGCUAAGUUUUAAAAAUUGCCAAAAUAUAUUUAAGAAAAUUCAAUUUAAGAAAUGCUAUCUGGAAAAUACUAACUUUAGAAAUAAGACCUUGUCUCUAACCUCAAUGGAGAAUUUUCAGUUUUCAAGCAUCUGUGUUGUUCAGUUGAACUCUUCAUUCCCCUCCCAUUAGUAAUUUAACAUCUGUAUUUUUCAUAGAGCAGCUCAGCACUAUGCUAAAUUAAUAGCAAAAGGGCCAAGCAAAAAAAGAUUCUGAUCAGAAAUCAGAACCACUUCAGUUAAAGCCUUGCUCAGAUAUGCACUGAGUGGAGGUGAAGUUGGCAGUUUCACCUUGGGCAGUUCCUGUGAGAUCAUUUAAAAUGAUCCAGGAAAAGCUCUGAAGGCCAGCUCCUCAGUGAUAUCUGCUUGUAUAUUGUGCAAUAAUGUAUCUUUCUCCUCACCUUCUUUUCAUCUUUAUUCAUCUAGCUGUAUCUAUAAAAUUAAUUAUUAGUAACAGAUGAAUACAGAUACAAUAAUUCUUCCCCCCCCCCCCCCCUUCACCCCAUCCUUUAUAUUUUGCUCUCUUUCUCUCAUAGCUUAUUUGAUUAGUAUUUUAUGUCUCUUGAAGGCAUGUAGACACUGUUGUACUCACUUCUUGGAUAAUUUUUCAAACCAGCAACAUUUGAAUGGCUACAAAUUAAAAACCUGUUUUUUCUGAACCUCUGGUGAUGCACACUCUUCUAAUUUGCAUUUAGGUCCCUGUGAUAGUAUUCUGGUAAGAUCUAAAACAGAAUUUUCAUUUCCAAGGACUAAACAGGUUUCUGAAACUGACAGUGGAACACUCAGUACAACUUGGGUGAUAAGGUAGCCCUCAGUGAAAUAGCAAACAGCAUUUAACAGCAUUGCAGAAAGGAUUAUUUCCAUGAAAGUGUUCAACCCAGAUGGAACCAGGGAGUUUAGAAAUUGUGCAGAAAGUCAUUCCCUCACAAGAUUUGAUCACUGUCUAGGUCAAGAGUUAGAUGAGGUUUAGACAAAGUUCAUGUCCUGAUGCUUUGCUAUCCAUAGUGAAAAACUUAAUAUGAAUUUGAGCAUCUGAUUAUGCAGCUGGUACCCUAUUAAUUUGUUGUUAGCUUUUUUAAGUACUGCAUUUUAGAAAUCUCAUAUUUUUCAGCCUGCAUGGUGUUUCUCUGGCAGCACUUUUUAUGGGGUUUUGAAGCUGUGACCAACAAAUAAUUUUGUUCUUGUUUCUGUAACAGUUUCUGCAAAUUGUGCCAAGGCACUGACAUAUGUGAAGAACUGUGCAUUUUUUUUUUUUUUUAACUCCAUGGUUAUUUCAAUUUUGUAGGAUUUAGUGAAUAACAAGCAAUAUUCCCUGGAAGAAGAGCAUAUAGUCAAGUGCAUUGGAAGAUAAAAAGAUGAUAUACAGAAAUAAUUUACUCUUGGGAAUUCUAGUAAUGUCAUUUUUGGAGUUCUUCCACAAGCUUGCAUAGAAGGUGGUGGUUUGCUUUAUGUAACAGGUUCAGUGCUCAGUCUUAUCCCAGGAGUGAUUCCCCUGAGCACAUCUGACUCCAGUCUGCCUCUCUUAAUUUGAGAACAGUGAUGGGUGUGUUCUGCAUGCUAGACCACACCAGCAAAGUAGUCUCUGCACCCACAUGAAGCUUAGCAGAAAAAGGCUGGAUUUGGCAACAUGUGUCCAUCCCUCUCAUUUAUAAAAACACAUCAUGUCAGGCCCCCUCAGUUUUGACAGUGAUGGUUAAUCUCCUGAACAGCUUGCCUUUAAUGAUAAUUUCCCAUUUAGUAUCUAAUUCAUGUUUGGUACUCAGGCAAUGUAUAUUUCAUGAACUGCCCUGCUGACUGAGGAAACUUCAGCUAUUUUUUCUUCCAAAAAGAUACUUAGCCUUACCUCCCCAGCUGCACAAAGCCAGCAAUGAAUAAUCACUCUUACCACUUUUCUGAAAUAUCAAAGUGGUCUCUCUUCAUGGCAGAGAAUUCCAGACUGUCCUGGAGAAAGCAGGUCGUGUGAAUAUCUUUGCUGUAUUCCUAAUUGUUUGCUCUGGCAGCUCCCAGUGAAGCAGCUGGUUGUCUUUGGAAAGCUAUGCUUGUUGUUUUGGGUUUGAACAUCAUGUGUCUUUAAUUUUCAGCACUAGCCACAGGGAUAAGUAUCACAAAUAUCUGGUUGAAGGCCUUUUGCCCUUGGGAACUCAAUAUAUACUUGGCAGCCUCUCUGACAGUGGGACUGAGGGGAGAAUCAAAGUUGAUUCAUUGCCUUAUAUCCCCUCGGGGAAAAGAAAGAAUAAAAAUGGCAAUUGCUGCUUCAUUCAGUUGCCUGAGGCAUGUCUUUCCUGUUUUUGUAGAGAAUAAACUAAUGUCAUUUCUAAAACAAUCUUUCCUCUGUAUGAAAAUAUUAUUCCAUCCAAUAUCAUACAGCUGAUUCUGAGGCUUGACUUCCUCACAUCCCACUGUGGUACUGGGUGGACUUCAGAAUUGCAUAAACCUGCACAUAACCAGAAAUGGACAUUCACAUCUCCCAUUCAAUGCCUACGUCCAAGAGAAUCUACUGUCAUGUUCUUCAGCUCAGCAUACAGUAAACUCUAAUGAAAAUGGGUUUGUACAGUGCUGAAAAUGGUGCUGCACCAUGAAGAUGGGUUUGAGCCUGCAGCUUAAGAGAACGUGGAUUGUGCUUUAUUUAUUGUUCAGAGACUCUCAUUUCCUACUGCAUGAUUAUGACCAGCCUAAAUGAGCAUCUUGCUAUGACUUCCAGUGAAGAUAUGUUCAUUACUCUGCCUGUGGAUAUAGCUUCCCAAAUAUUCCCCACUUUCUGUGCCACACUGAAGGGGAACAGUCAUUAGGGUGGUAACAUCAUGAUACAAAGCCUGAGCUCCGAUGUAUACAUUAGCUAAAGAUUAACCAGGGUGCCAGCUGAGCUCUGAUUCUUUUAGAAAUGUGGCUCAGCAGAGCUCCAAGCUCUCACCAAGAUAUUUGCUCAUGUCUCCAUCACCCCUCAUCUCAAUUGGUGCAACUGCCAGAAAUUAUUUUCCUUAAUAGAAAAACUGUAUGCAUUUUGCAUGUUGCUCUUUGCUAUGUAGAUCUGGUUAAUUUAUGAUUUCGAUUUGAAAAUAGAAUUCAAAUCUUGUAAUUUAGAUCUGAAAAGCAUCUUUCUUUGAGGCAGUUUUUCGAUUUUUCUAGGAAAUCCAUUCCUUUUAUUUUAUAAUCAGCUCAACCCAGCACAAGAAUCUUAUGGAAGGUGGUGGCAGUUAUCAACUAUGCAAGUCAAUAAUUUUAUUUUCAAGUCUCCAAGUUUUGCUGUUAGUUCUGAAAUUCAGUGCUAUUCUAGGGGAUAUGUUGUUGAGUUGAUGAGGGACUUGUGAUACUGCUUAAAUACAAAAGAGAAUUUUAGCUAGGGAAGAAGCUCUGCAAGAUGAAUGGGUGUAUUAGCUUAGCAUGGAUCUGAACUUUGUCUUGCAAAACACUGCACAGGCUUUCAGUGACACAGAUCCCAUUGGAAACAGCUAUUGUCUAACAGCUGAAAAUAAUAGGGCUCAAAAUGGUUCUAAUUAUUCUGAUUUGAAAGGUAAGUUGGUAUGGCUUUUUGAUGCUUCAUUUGAAAUAUCCUGGUAUAUUGCUUAAUUAUAUUAAUAUAUGUAUUUAAUCACUGUGUCCAACACAGAGAAUAUGAACUUGAUCUGUAAGCAAAACCCUGUCUUUACACUUGCAGGAGUGUGUGCCUGGCCCUGAUUGUACAAUUAGCAUUGGGUUUGCUUUGUAACAAUUUCCUUAAGUUAUAAGCACUUCAGAAUGAUACAAGUAUUCAAAGUAUGAUUCAAUUUGCAUUUUUUAUAUCUGCUUCCAGUAAUUUAUUGGCACUCAAGAAGCAAUGCUCCUAAAUCAGUGUUGUAUAUUUUAUACAGAAGAGCCAGACAGAGGUGUGGCACAAGGUAAAGUCCUUCUAUUCCUACUUCCUUCUUCCUUUUAGCUCUGCUCCACGCUAAGGUAUGGAAACCAUCUUGCACAACAUUACAGAGACAUAAGAAGGCACCCUGUACUUGAGAAAGGACUGGAGUGAGAAAAACAAGUGUGAUGUUAAGAGCAAAGCACAGCAGAAAAUACUUUAGGAGGAUCUAUAAAAAGUUUAAAUUGGUAAAGCAUGUAUGUGGGUGGGUUAGAAAGAAUAAAGCAUAAUUAAGUUACUGAAGCCUCAGCAGGACUCUGAACAUUGUUCAGCGUGCAUUGCAGUUCGCUUUAAAGAAAUGUCAAGAAUAGCCACAACCUUAGAAUGGGGACCUUUUUUGUAGUGUAGCUUUGAUUUCACCAAAUGCACGAAGGCUGCCCCUUCUUGGGCUUGUGCUGCAGGGUGCUGAGUGUAUUCCAGGAACACGUGGAGGCAAAAGUUCCACCUUCUGCAAGCUGGUGACAGAGCAGGGCUGUCCAUAUUAGACACAGCUGAAAGUCAGAGGAAGUUUGCCAUCCUGCAUGACAAAGGGUGCUGGGCCCCAUUUGGGGUCCCUGCCUGCACACCAGUACCAGGAGAAGGGUGGAUGGAUGAGAGGAGGUGGCUUUGCCCUCUCUCCCUCUGAAGUGAAAAGUGUGGCAAUCACAGAAGAGCCUCCUUGCAGCUACUGAACAGCAUUUCUAAUUGCUCUGUGAUGUGAACAGUUUAGGUCCAAUGCCCUUGAUGCCCUG